This 343-nucleotide unclassified non-coding RNA is filed under the name soil metagenome. Its description in RNAcentral is "partial contains 5.8S ribosomal RNA, internal transcribed spacer 2, and large subunit ribosomal RNA". The stretch from base 1 to 120 matches the Rfam family "5.8S ribosomal RNA", at positions 35 to 154 of the family's 154-position model. The record is from RNAcentral.
GAUGAAGAACGUAGCGAAAUGCGAUAAGUAAUGUGAAUUGCAGAAUCCAGUGAAUCAUCGAAUCUUUGAACGCACAUUGCGCCCGCCAGCAUUCUGGCGGGCAUGCCUGUUCGAGCGUCAUUUCAACCCUCGACCUCCCUUUGGGGAAGUCGGCGUUGGGGACCGGCAGCACACCGCCGGCCCUGAAAUGGAGUGGCGGCCCGUCCGCGGCGACCUCUGCGUAGUAAACCAACUCGCACCGGAACCCCGACGUGGCCACGCCGUAAAACACCCAACUUCUGAACGUUGACCUCGAAUCAGGUAGAACUACCCGCUGAACUUAAGCAUAUCAAUAAGCGGAGGA